RNAcentral lists this transfer RNA (239 nucleotides) under Marmota monax (woodchuck). Its description in RNAcentral is "tRNA.Ala". Lineage: Eukaryota; Metazoa; Chordata; Mammalia; Rodentia; Sciuridae. The record is from RNAcentral.
GGGGUUGUGGCUCAGUGGGACAGUGCUUGCUUAGCACAUGGAAGCAUUGAGUUUGAUCUUCAGCACCACAUAAAAAUAAAUCAAUCAAAUGUUUUUUUAAAAAUAUUUUUUAAAAGCUAUUGAGUCGUGAAGCACUAGGCAACUCAGUGAGACCAUGUCUCUAAAUAAAAAAUACAAAAUAGGGCUGGGGAUGUGGUUCAGUGAUCAAGGGCCUCUGAGUUCAAUCCUCGGUACCCCUC